AAGUCGUAACAAGGUUUCCUUCCAGGCGGUGCAUCCGCUGAAGCCUCCCGCAGCGACUAUAAACAAAACGCGUCAGUCCGCCCCGCGGGCGACACCACGAUCCUACUGGGACUCAUGCAUGCGUCUUUGACCAUGCAGGUAUCAGUGGCCUGUGCAUCAGGUUCACAGAUCAGACAGUGGUGGCCGUUGUGGUUAAGAUAUGACCGGUCUCCGCUGUAACCAGCCGGAGAGAACACGUUCCGUAGGUGAACCUGCGGAAGGAUCAUUA
RNAcentral lists this ribosomal RNA (268 nucleotides) under Polysporina subfuscescens. RNAcentral describes it as "partial 18S ribosomal RNA". The record is from RNAcentral. Lineage: Eukaryota; Fungi; Ascomycota; Lecanoromycetes; Acarosporales; Acarosporaceae.